UUAGAGUUUGAUCUUGGCUCAGAGCGAACGCUGGCGGCAGGCUUAACACAUGCAAGUCGAACGGGCACUUCGGUGCUAGUGGCAGACGGGUGAGUAACACGUGGGAACGUACCUUUCGGUUCGGAAUAAUUCAGGGAAACUUGGACUAAUACCGGAUACGCCCUUCGGGGGAAAGAUUUAUCGCCGAUAGAUCGGCCCGCGUCUGAUUAGCUAGUUGGUGAGGUAAUGGCUCACCAAGGCGACGAUCAGUAGCUGGUCUGAGAGGAUGAUCAGCCACAUUGGGACUGAGACACGGCCCAAACUCCUACGGGAGGCAGCAGUGGGGAAUAUUGGACAAUGGGCGCAAGCCUGAUCCAGCCAUGCCGCGUGAGUGAUGAAGGCCUUAGGGUUGUAAAGCUCUUUUGUCCGGGAAGAUAAUGACUGUACCGGAAGAAUAAGCCCCGGCUAACUUCGUGCCAGCAGCCGCGGUAAUACGAAGGGGGCUAGCGUUGCUCGGAAUCACUGGGCGUAAAGGGCGCGUAGGCGGACUCUUAAGUCGGGGGUGAAAGCCCAGGGCUCAACCCUGGAAUUGCCUUCGAUACUGAGAGUCUUGAGUUCGGAAGAGGUUGGUGGAACUGCGAGUGUAGAGGUGAAAUUCGUAGAUAUUCGCAAGAACACCAGUGGCGAAGGCGGCCAACUGGUCCGAUACUGACGCUGAGGCGCGAAAGCGUGGGGAGCAAACAGGAUUAGAUACCCUGGUAGUCCACGCCGUAAACGAGGAAUACCACCCGCUGGGGUGCAUGCACUUCAGUGGCGCAGGUAACGCUUUAAGCAUUUCCUCCUGGGGAGUACGGUCUCAAGAUUAAAAAUCAAAGGAAUAGACGGGGGGCCGCACAAGCGGUGGAGCAUGUGGUUUAAUUUGAAGCAACGCGCAGAACCCCACCAGCUUUUGACAUGUCCGGUUUGAUCGGCAGAGAUGCCUUUCUUCAUUUCGGUUGGCCGGAACACAGGAGCUGCAUGGCUGUCGUCAGCUCGUGUCGUGAGAUGUUGGGUUAAGUCCCGCAACGAGCGCAACCCUCGCCCCUAGUUGCCAUCAUUCAGUUGGGAACUCUAGGGGGACUGCCGGUGAUAAGCCGCGAGGAAGGUGGGGAGGACGUCAAGUCCUCAUGGCCCUUACAGGCUGGGCUACACACGUGCUACAAUGGCGGUGGCAAUGGGCAGCGAAAGGGCGACCUCGAGCUAAUCCCAAAAAACCGUCUCAGUUCAGAUUGUACUCUGCAACUCGAGUACAUGAAGGUGGAAUCGCUAGUAAUCGUGGAUCAGCAUGCCACGGCGAAAAAAUUCCCGGGCCUUGCACUCACCGCCCGUCA
RNAcentral lists this ribosomal RNA (1349 nucleotides) under uncultured bacterium. Its description in RNAcentral is "16S ribosomal RNA". It matches the Rfam family "Bacterial small subunit ribosomal RNA". The record is from RNAcentral.